RNAcentral lists this ribosomal RNA (443 nucleotides) under uncultured bacterium. Its description in RNAcentral is "bacterial SSU rRNA". It matches the Rfam family "Bacterial small subunit ribosomal RNA", at positions 338 to 795 of the family's 1533-position model. The record is from RNAcentral.
CCUACGGGGGGCAGCAGUGGGGAAUAUUGCACAAUGGGGGAAACCUUGUUGAGGCGCGGCGGGGGGAAGGAAAAAGGUCUUCGGAUCGAAAAUUCUUUUAGCCAGGGAGGAGGGAAGGGACGGAACCUGACAAAGAAGCCCCGGCUAACUACGUGCCAGCAGCCGCGGUAAUACGUAGGGGGCAAGCGUUAUCCGGAAUCACUGGGUGUAAAGGGUGCGUAGGCGGUAGGGCAAGUCAGAUGUGAAAGCCCGGAGCUCAACUCCGGGAUUGCAUUUGAAACUGUCUUACUAGAGUGCAGGAGAGGAGAGUGGAAUUCCCAGUGUAGCGGUGAAAUGCGUAGAUAUUGGGAGGAACACCAGUUGCGAAGGCGGCUCUCUGGACUGUAACUGACGCUGAGGCACGAAAGCGUGGGGAGCGAACAGGAUUAGAUACCCCGGUAGUC